CUACGGGAGGCAGCAGUGGGGAAUAUUGCACAAUGGGCGCAAGCCUGAUGCAGCCAUGCCGCGUGUAUGAAGAAGGCCUUCGGGUUGUAAAGUACUUUCAGCGGGGAGGAAGGGAGUAAAGUUAAUACCUUUGCUCAUUGACGUUACCCGCAGAAGAAGCACCGGCUAAGACCGUGCCAGCAGCCGCGGUAAUACGGAGGGUGCAAGCGUUAAUCGGAAUUACUGGGCGUAAAGCGCACGCAGGCAGUUUGUUAAGUCAGAUGUGAAAUCCCCGGGCUCAACCUGAGAACUGCAUCUGAUACUGGCAAGCUUGAGUCUCGUAGAGGGGGGUAGAAUUCCAGGUGUAGCGGUGAAAUGCGUAGAGAUCUGGAGGAAUACCGGUGGCGAAGGCGGCCCCCUGGACGAAGACUGACGCUCAGGUGCGAAAGCGUGGGGAGCAAACAGGAUUAGAUACCCCAGUAGUC
This 464-nucleotide ribosomal RNA is filed under the name uncultured bacterium. RNAcentral's name for it is "partial 16S ribosomal RNA". It matches the Rfam family "Bacterial small subunit ribosomal RNA", at positions 339 to 795 of the family's 1533-position model. The record is from RNAcentral.